CCGUUUGGUUCUUUUGCCAUCAGAAUUAUUGUCUAAAGGCGAAGAAAGAUGCCCAACGGAUUUACUUUACCAAAUGGACCAUCCCAGCCUUGCUGUAAUGGUCCAUCUGAUUCACCUUUUAUUGUUUAUUUUAUUUUCGCUUGCUGAAUACGGGACAGACUUGACUGGGGGAAGGAAAGGGGAGAAAGAAAGAGGGAAAGAAAAACAGCAGGGAAGAGGGACGGGGAAAAAGGGCAAAAAACCAAAAACCAACAGAAUAAGCAGACAAAAAAUACAUAUAUCGAUCACCUGGAUCACCUGUUGAGAAAGAAAGAAGAAAGCAAGCAGAAGAAAACGAGAGUAAUAAACAUCAUCACAAUGAUAUAUGGGAAUAUGACAGUAAAUACUAAAUAUUAAACAUUAUUGUGCAGCACGUAAGAUCGACAGCGCACAGUGUGCUUUGAGGUUCCUUCAUGUAAUGAUCUGCUAGAGGGUGUGGGAGCCACUGCCCCGUCCUCCAGGGCAUGACGCAGGUAUGGAGGAGAUCAAAACUCCAGACGUCCAGAGGCCCCCAGAACACAAGAGACCAAGGAAGACCAACAGAGGGGCAGCCGCGUCACUAUCCCAGAAAGAGCUGAGGAGAGUCCCAGAUGAGGGGUCACUCAGCAGCCGCGGAGCAGAAGCCAGGGGGGGUUGCAGUGACGUGCCCGUGAGCUCCGCCGGCAGCCAGCUGUGCCUGAGUGACCGAGCUCCGGGCCGAGAGGCCGAGGGCACCCUGCCUCCGAAGUGGCCCGAGCGAUGUGCAUCAGUGUUACAGUGACAGGGGUCUGCAUCGUCUAAAAGUUACAUUUAUUAAGGUAAACUAUGAUAUAUAUCCCACAGUGAGACCACCCUGAACAUGCCCGCCUACACAAGUGACAUAGUGCUAGGUUUUUCACUUCUCUUUACAAGCUGCAGAGGUCGCCGCUGCUCAGGAAGCUGCAGGGGAGAAUGUAGGCCAUAUAUAUGAACAAGUUCUCAAAAUCAAAAAAUAAAUAUAUUUUAUUCAAAUGAACUAAACUCUUUAAUUAUGAAAAUGAAUAGGUGAACCCAAAACAGAUGACAAAUAUAGAAACUGAAACAAACUCUCAAAUAAAGUCCAAAUACAUCAAAAUUACACCUAAAAAGGGCAACACUGACAAAUAAAUGCAAAAAACCCCAGUAGGAAUCUAUUAAUUAACCAUUAGAUUUUGAAAAUGUAGAAUAAUAAACUGCUU
Oreochromis aureus is the source of this 1235-nucleotide long non-coding RNA. NCBI's taxonomy places the organism in Eukaryota, Metazoa, Chordata, Actinopteri, Cichliformes, Cichlidae. The record is from Ensembl.